Molecule: ribosomal RNA, 505 nt
Filed under: uncultured bacterium
Lineage: Bacteria
Description: bacterial SSU rRNA
Rfam family: Bacterial small subunit ribosomal RNA
Source: RNAcentral
AACGAACGCUGGCGGCGUGCUUAAGACAUGCAAGUCGUGCGAGAAAGCCACCUUCGGGUGGCGAGUACAGCGGCGCACGGGUGAGUAACGCGUGGGUAAUCUACCCAAGGGUCUGGGAUAACUCCGGGAAACUGGGGCUAAUACCGGAUAAGACCACGACGUCCUCGGACGACGCGGAAAAAGGUGGCCUCUCCUUGGAAGCUACCGCCCUCGGAUGAGCCCGCGUCCCAUUAGCUUGUUGGUGGGGUAACGGCCCACCAAGGCUCCGAUGGGUAGCUGGUCUGAGAGGAUGAUCAGCCACACUGGAACUGAGACACGGUCCAGACUCCUACGGGAGGCAGCAGUCGGGAAUUUUGGGCAAUGGGCGAAAGCCUGACCCAGCAACGCCGUGUGAGGGAUGAAGGCCUUCGGGUCGUAAACCUCUGUCGGAAGGGAAGAAUUGCCUCCGUUCGAACAGGGCGGGGGCUUGACGGUACCUUCAAAGGAAGCACCGGCUAACUCCGUG